This 492-nucleotide ribosomal RNA is filed under the name uncultured bacterium. RNAcentral's name for it is "partial 16S ribosomal RNA". It matches the Rfam family "Bacterial small subunit ribosomal RNA", at positions 29 to 507 of the family's 1533-position model. The record is from RNAcentral.
AGUGAACGCUGGCGGUAGGCCUAACACAUGCAAGUCGAACGGCAGCACAGUAAGAGCUUGCUCUUACGGGUGGCGAGUGGCGGACGGGUGAGGAAUACAUCGGAAUCUACUUUUUCGUGGGGGAUAACGUAGGGAAACUUACGCUAAUACCGCAUACGACCUACGGGUGAAAGCAGGGGAUCUUCGGACCUUGCGCGAUUGAAUGAGCCGAUGUCGGAUUAGCUAGUUGGCGGGGUAAAGGCCCACCAAGGCGACGAUCCGUAGCUGGUCUGAGAGGAUGAUCAGCCACACUGGAACUGAGACACGGUCCAGACUCCUACGGGAGGCAGCAGUGGGGAAUAUUGGACAAUGGGCGCAAGCCUGAUCCAGCCAUACCGCGUGGGUGAAGAAGGCCCUCGGGUUGUAAAGCCCUUUUGUUGGGAAAGAAAAGCAGCAGGUUAAUACCCCGCUGUCCUGACGGUACCCAAAGAAUAAGCACCGGCUAACUUCGUG